RNAcentral lists this ribosomal RNA (328 nucleotides) under uncultured eukaryote. RNAcentral describes it as "partial 18S ribosomal RNA". It matches the Rfam family "Eukaryotic small subunit ribosomal RNA", at positions 1470 to 1796 of the family's 1831-position model. The record is from RNAcentral.
CCCUUAGACGUUCUGGGCCGCACGCGCGCUACACUGACCAGUGCAACAAGCAUCCGUCCUUGGCCGACAGGCCCGGGCAAUCUUUGAACGCUGGUCGUGAUGGGGAUAGACUUUUGCAAUUUUUGGUCUUCAACGAGGAAUUCCUAGUAAACGCAAGUCAUCAACUUGCAUUGAUUACGUCCCUGCCCUUUGUACACACCGCCCGUCGCACCUACCGAUUGAAUGGUCCGGUGAAGCGUUCGGACCGUGGCCUUUGGACGGUUCGCCGUCUGUUGGCUGCGGGAAGUUCGUUAAACCUUAUCAUUUAGAGGAAGGAGAANUCGUAACA